RNAcentral lists this ribosomal RNA (1154 nucleotides) under Salmonella enterica subsp. enterica serovar Bovismorbificans. Its description in RNAcentral is "partial 23S ribosomal RNA". It matches the Rfam family "Bacterial large subunit ribosomal RNA", at positions 512 to 1668 of the family's 2925-position model. The record is from RNAcentral. Lineage: Bacteria; Pseudomonadati; Pseudomonadota; Gammaproteobacteria; Enterobacterales; Enterobacteriaceae.
AGGCGAAAAGAACCCCGGAGAGGGGAGUGAAAUAGAACCUGAAACCGUAUGCGUACAAGCAGUGGGAGCCUACUUUGUUAGGUGACUGCGUACCUUUUGUAUAAUGGGUCAGCGACUUAUAUUCAGUGGCGAGCUUAACCGAAUAGGGAAGGCGUAGCGAAAGCGAGUCUUAAUAGGGCGAAUUAGUCGCUGGGUAUAGACCCGAAACCGGGCGAUCUAUCCAUGAGCAGGUUGAAGGUUAGGUAACACUGACUGGAGGACCGAACCCACUCCCGUUGAAAAGGUAGGGGAUGACUUGUGGAUCGGAGUGAAAGGCUAAUCAAGCUCGGAGAUAGCUGGUUCUCCUCGAAAGCUAUUUAGGUAGCGCCUCACGUAUCACUCCAGGGGGUAGAGCACUGUUUCGGCUAGGGGGUCAUCCCGACUUACCAAACCGAUGCAAACUCCGAAUACCUGGAAGUGUCAGCGUGGGAGACACACGGCGGGUGCUAACGUCCGUCGUGAAAAGGGAAACAACCCAGACCGUCAGCUAAGGUCCCAAAGUUAUGGUUAAGUGGUAAACGAUGUGGGAAGGCUUAGACAGCUAGGAGGUUGGCUUAGAAGCAGCCACCCUUUAAAGAAAGCGUAAUAGCUCACUAGUCGAGUCGGCCUGCGCGGAAGAUGUAACGGGGCUCAAACCAUACACCGAAGCUACGGGUGCAUCGCAAGAUGCGCGGUAGAGGAGCGUUCUGUAAGCCUGUGAAGGUGAGUUGAGAAGCUUGCUGGAGGUAUCAGAAGUGCGAAUGCUGACAUGAGUAACGACAAUGGGAGUGAAAAACUCCCACGCCGAAAGACCAAGGGUUCCUGCGCAACGUUAAUCGACGCAGGGUUAGUCGGUCCCUAAGGCGAGGCUGAAGAGCGUAGUCGAUGGGAAACAGGUUAAUAUUCCUGUACUUCUAGUUACUGCGAUGGAGGGACGGAGAAGGCUAGGCCAGCUUGGCGUUGGUUGUCCAAGUUUAAGGUGGUAGGCAGAGAUCUUAGGUAAAUCCGGGGUCUUAAUGCCGAGAGCUGAUGACGAGUCAUCUUUCAGAUGAUGAAGUGGUUGAUGCCAUGCUUCCAGGAAAAGCUUCUAAGCUUCAGGUAACUAGGAACCGUACCCCAAACCGACACAGGUGGUU